CCUACGGGAGGCUGCAGUGAGGAAUAUUGGUCAAUGGGCGCGAGCCUGAACCAGCCAAGUCGCGUGAAGGAUGACUGUCCUACGGGUUGUAAACUUCUUUUAUCAGGGAAUAAAGUCGGGCACGUGUCCCUGUUUGUAUGUACUUUAUGAAUAAGCAUCGGCUAACUCCGUGCCAGCAGCCGCGGUAAUACGGAGGAUCCGAGCGUUAUCCGGGUUUAUUGGGUUUAAAGGGUGCGUAGGCGGUCUGUAAAGUCCGCGGUAAAAGCCCGGGGCUAAACCCCGGCGCGCCGUUGAAACUGGCGGGCUCGAGAUGGAGAGAAGUAUGCGGAAUGCGCGGUGUAGCGGUGAAAUGCAUAGAUAUCGCGCAGAACUCCGAUUGCGAAGGCAGCAUGCCGGCUCCACACUGACGCUGAGGCACGAAAGCGUGGGUAUCGAACAGGAUUAGAUACCCGUGUAGUC
Molecule: ribosomal RNA, 459 nt
Filed under: uncultured bacterium
Lineage: Bacteria
Description: partial 16S ribosomal RNA
Rfam family: Bacterial small subunit ribosomal RNA
Source: RNAcentral